AUUGAACGCUGGCGGCAGGCCUAACACAUGCAAGUCGAGCGGAUGAAGGGAGCUUGCUCCUGGAUUCAGCGGCGGACGGGUGAGUAAUGCCUAGGAAUCUGCCUGGUAGCGGGGGAUAACGUCCGGAAACGGGAGCUAAUACCGCAUACGUCCUGAGGGAGAAAGUGGGGGAUCUUCGGACCUCACGCUACUAGAUGAGCCUAGGUCGGAUUAGCUAGUUGGUGGGGUAAAGGCCUACCAAGGCGACGAUCCGUAACUGGUCUGAGAGGAUGAUCAGUCACACUGGAACUGAGACACGGUCCAGACUCCUACGGGAGGCAGCAGUGGGGAAUAUUGGACAAUGGGCGAAAGCCUGAUCCAGCCAUGCCGCGUGUGUGAAGAAGGUCUUCGGAUUGUAAAGCACUUUAAGUUGGGGGGAAGGUCAGUAAGUUAAUACCUUGCUGUUUUGACGUUACCAACAGAAUAAGCACCGGCUAACUUCGUG
RNAcentral lists this ribosomal RNA (484 nucleotides) under uncultured bacterium. Its description in RNAcentral is "partial 16S ribosomal RNA". It matches the Rfam family "Bacterial small subunit ribosomal RNA", at positions 30 to 507 of the family's 1533-position model. The record is from RNAcentral.